CCUACGGGAGGCAGCAGUAAGGAAUAUUGGUCAAUGGACGCAAGUCUGAACCAGCCAUGCCGCGUGCAGGAUGACGGCCCUCUGGGUUGUAAACUGCUUUUAUACGGGAAGAAACCUCUGGUUGCGAUCAGAGCUGACGGUACCGUAAGAAUAAGGACCGGCUAACUUCGUGCCAGCAGCCGCGGUAAUACGAAGGGUCCAAGCGUUAUCCGGAUUUAUUGGGUUUAAAGGGUGCGUAGGCGGCUUAUUAAGUCAGUGGUGAAAGACUUCAGCUUAACUGAAGAACUGCCAUUGAUACUGAUGAGCUUGAAUAUACUUGAGGUGGGCGGAAUGUGUCAUGUAGCGGUGAAAUGCUUAGAUAUGACACAGAACACCGAUUGCGAAGGCAGCUCGCUAAAGUAUGAUUGACGCUGAUGCACGAAAGCGUGGGGAGCAAACAGGAUUAGAUACCCUGGUAGUCCACGCCCUAAACGUUGAUAACUCGAUGUGUGCGAUAUACAGUACGCGUCCAAGCGAAAGCAUUAAGUUAUCCACCUGGGAAGUACGGUCGCAAGAUUGAAACUCAAAGGAAUUGACGGCUUGAGACGNGCGAGGACGACACGAGGGAGUAGG
RNAcentral lists this ribosomal RNA (612 nucleotides) under uncultured bacterium. RNAcentral describes it as "bacterial SSU rRNA". It matches the Rfam family "Bacterial small subunit ribosomal RNA", at positions 338 to 951 of the family's 1533-position model. The record is from RNAcentral.